ACGGAAGGCAGCAGUGGGGAAUAUUGCACAAUGGGGGAAACCCUGAUGCAGCGACGCCGCGUGAAGGAAGAAGUAUCUCGGUAUGUAAACUUCUAUCAGCAGGGAAGAAAGUGACGGUACCUGACUAAGAGGCCCCGGCUAACUACGUGCCAGCAGCCGCGGUAAUACGUAGGGGGCAAGCGUUAUCCGGAUUUACUGGGUGUAAAGGGAGCGUAGACGGCAAGACAAGUCUGAAGUGAAAGGCAUGGGCUCAACCUGUGGACUGCUUUGGAAACUGCCUUGCUUGAGUGCCGGAGGGGUAAGCGGAAUUCCUAGUGUAGCGGUGAAAUGCGUAGAUAUUAGGAGGAACACCAGUGGCGAAGGCGGCUUACUGGACGGUAACUGACGUUGAGGCUCGAAAGCGUGGGGAGCAAACAGGAUUAGAUACCCUGGUA
RNAcentral lists this ribosomal RNA (434 nucleotides) under uncultured Blautia sp. RNAcentral describes it as "partial 16S ribosomal RNA". It matches the Rfam family "Bacterial small subunit ribosomal RNA", at positions 341 to 792 of the family's 1533-position model. Lineage: Bacteria; Bacillati; Bacillota; Clostridia; Lachnospirales; Lachnospiraceae. The record is from RNAcentral.